This 406-nucleotide ribosomal RNA is filed under the name uncultured Thecofilosea. RNAcentral's name for it is "partial small subunit ribosomal RNA". It matches the Rfam family "Eukaryotic small subunit ribosomal RNA", at positions 30 to 432 of the family's 1831-position model. The record is from RNAcentral. Lineage: Eukaryota; Cercozoa; Thecofilosea.
GCUUGUCUCAAAGAUUAAGCCAUGCAUGUCUAAGUAUAAACAACUUUAUACUGUAAAACUGCGAACGGCUCAUUAUAUCAGCAAUUAUUUAUUUGAUGGUCUCUUACUACAUGGAUAACUGUGGUAAUUCUAGAGCUAAUACAUGCGUAAAAUCCCGACUCUCGCGGGGAGGGAUGUAUUUAUUAGAUAAAAAACCAAUGCGGGGCAACCCGGUUUUGUGGUGAAUCAUAGUAACUAAUCGGAUCGCAUGGGCUUUGCCCGCGACAAACCAUUCAAGUUUCUGCCCCAUCAGCUUUCGAUGGUAGUGUAUUGGACUACCAUGGCUAUUACGGGUAACGGAGGAUUAGGGUUCGAUUCCGGAGAGGGAGCCUGAGAAACGGCUACCACAUCUAAGGAAGGCAGCAGG